Malania oleifera is the source of this 106-nucleotide small nucleolar RNA. NCBI's taxonomy places the organism in Eukaryota, Viridiplantae, Streptophyta, Magnoliopsida, Santalales, Ximeniaceae. The record is from RefSeq and is a predicted model, not a curated record.
AAUUCGUGAUGUGGGCAUAUAUUCAUUAGGUCCUUGAAUCUCUCCCAAGAAUCUUGGAACGUCUCAUCACCUCGCUGCAUGAACUGAAUGAUCUGCUUCUGUAGGU